This 460-nucleotide ribosomal RNA is filed under the name uncultured bacterium. Its description in RNAcentral is "partial 16S ribosomal RNA". It matches the Rfam family "Bacterial small subunit ribosomal RNA", at positions 338 to 795 of the family's 1533-position model. The record is from RNAcentral.
CCUACGGGAGGCAGCAGUGAGGAAUAUUGGUCAAUGGACGAGAGUCUGAACCAGCCAAGUAGCGUGAAGGAUGACUGCCCUAUGGGUUGUAAACUUCUUUUAUAUGGGAAUAAAACGUUCCACGUGUGGGAUUUUGUAUGUACCAUAUGAAUAAGGAUCGGCUAACUCCGUGCCAGCAGCCGCGGUAAUACGGAGGAUCCGAGCGUUAUCCGGAUUUAUUGGGUUUAAAGGGAGCGUAGGUGGAUUGUUAAGUCAGUUGUGAAAGUUUGCGGCUCAACCGUAAAAUUGCAGUUGAAACUGGCAGUCUUGAAUACAGUAGAGGUGGGCGGAAUUCGUGGUGUAGCGGUGAAAUGCUUAGAUAUCACGAAGAACUCCGAUUGCGAAGGCAGUUCACUGGACUGCAACUGACACUGAGGCUCGAAAGUGUGGGUAUCAAACAGGAUUAGAUACCCGUGUAGUC